GUGCUUACUUGGGGGUUAAGUUUCCUAUGCAUAAGUAAAGAGUUUACUUGGGGGUCAAGUUUUCUAUGGCUAAGUAAUGGGCUAACUUGGAGGCUAAGUUUCCUAACUUGGAGGCUAAGUUUCCUAUGUAUAUAUAAAUAUGAUAUGAGGACUUGGACCUUUUCUCUCAUUUUCCACCCCUUAACCCAAAAAGAGAAGCCUUCCCUUUCCCUCUCUAAACCUCUCUCUCUCCUAGCUCCUAGAGUGUUACUCCAAAAGUGGAGAUUUGGUGGAAGAAGCUUACUUGGAGGUGGAGCUUUCCUCUUCCUCACCAUUGGCUUGAAGAGAGCUUGGGUUUGGAUCGGAAGGAAUCGACG
RNAcentral lists this long non-coding RNA (356 nucleotides) under Ananas comosus (pineapple). RNAcentral's name for it is "long non-coding RNA (ACOM_LNC039824)". The record is from RNAcentral. Lineage: Eukaryota; Viridiplantae; Streptophyta; Magnoliopsida; Poales; Bromeliaceae.